Molecule: long non-coding RNA, 1465 nt
Filed under: Mytilus galloprovincialis (Mediterranean mussel)
Lineage: Eukaryota; Metazoa; Mollusca; Bivalvia; Mytilida; Mytilidae
Source: RNAcentral
UGAGUAUAUGUCGAUUUUUUGUAAGGGUCGGUUGGUAUUUUAUUUGGACCUGGUCAAGAGUCGAGUACUGUCCGGUAGUGUCGUUAGUAUGAAUAGUUUCUUUUUGAUUUGGACUAGUUUAUUUGUAUUGAUGGAUUUUUGUAUGUAAAUCUAUUUCUGUUUAUAUGUUGUUUUUUUUUAUUAUCAGUACUUCGUACUUCUUUUUGUGGGGAGGAACUGUCACAGGGUGACUUUGGUUACUCACAUAUAUGUUGUUAUUUUGGUUGUUAAUUCUAUUUCGAUUUGCAGAGCGUCAGUAUCUUAUAAAUGCUAUAUUCUGCAGACUUCAGUGUAUAAUACAUGUCCACAUUUUACAUCUAAUUAAUUAGGUAGUGUCCACUAUUUACUUGGGCAUUUACCUGUAAACUUGUCGAACGGGUUGAGUAACAUGUGAUACCUGUAUUUGAUGAGCUGACUAUUCACUCUCAGGUAACACCUUAACGAGUCAAGGUGUGGCCAGAUAUGUUUUGUAUAAAGUUAGUUUACAAUGUGGCGUGGACACACACACUGGAUUUCUGAGGUAGGACUCAAUUUAUUCUUAUUUAUUUAAUCAUUAUUCGUUCUAAAGUGUUCAGUUUUCUGCAACAACGCAAAUAUAGAAUAAUUAUUUAAAUUGUAAUUGUAAUUUUUGACAUUGCUAUUUUGUAAAUGUCACAAGUUAAUUAAUGUUCAUUAUAAUGAAAGUUUAACACGGUUAUAUGUUUUCGGUUGUAGUAAAUAUUCGAGUGUCGAAAUCGUUUGGUAUUUUAGGAACGUUUGUGUACGAUAAUGCAAUGAUGUAUGUAUCUCCAUAAGUAUGUAAAGUAAUAUGCAACGUAUAAGCAUAAAUGUAUAUUCAGCGUUAAAAGCUGUAUAUUGUGUGUAGUAAUUGUAUAAUGAUAGUAUACAAUAAAGUCAAUUAUGUGACUUGUAAAGUAAGGCAUUAUACGAUAUGCCGUAGCUUGUAUUGUGUAAAGUAAGGCAUUAUACGAUAUGCCGUAAUUAUUUGAGUAUAAGUAAUGCAUUAUUCAAUAUGCUGUAAUCUUCUAUAGAUUGAACAUAAGUAGUCGUACUAAGUAUUUGUCAUUAUUUAUGCGACAUGUGUAAUACAUAAACAUAAUUAUGUAUAUUUCUUGAGUAUAGUAUUGUAUUUUAACGUACAGUAUGUAUUUCAAUAGGUCCCAGUUUCGGGCUAGAUGUAUGUAGUUUUGAUUAGUAAAGUAUGGAGAUAUAUUACAAAUGGUGGUGAAACCUGUUGACGGUGCGACGUUCCAUGUUUUUCAUCAAUAGUUUGGCAACCUACAAUAUUUGGAGUCGAGUCUAGACAAUAGGGCAGCCGUAAUGUGUACACCGCUUAUGUUGGGCCAGUUUUGUGUAGUUACCAAAAACCAAAUACGUAAACUUCCGUAGUAUCGUUAUCCAGAUUUCAAAGCUAAAUAUAAAGAAG